Molecule: transfer RNA, 76 nt
Filed under: Planctomycetota bacterium
Lineage: Bacteria; Pseudomonadati; Planctomycetota
Description: Planctomycetes bacterium (stromatolite metagenome) tRNA-Ala
Rfam family: tRNA
About the family: Transfer RNA (tRNA) molecules are approximately 80 nucleotides in length.
Source: RNAcentral
GGGCCUGUAGCUCAGUUGGGAGAGCGCUUCGUUCGCAAUGAAGAGGUCGGGAGUUCAACUCUCCCCAGGUCCACCA